UACGGGGGGGGCAAGCGUUGUUCGGAAUUACUGGGCGUAAAGGGUGCGUAGGCGGCUUUCUAAGUCGGAUGUGAAAACUCUGGGCUCAACCCAGAGCCUGCAUCCGAAACUGGCGGGCUAGAGUUCUGGAGGGGGUAGCGGAAUUCCUGGUGUAGCGGUGAAAUGCGUAGAUAUCAGGAGGAACACCGGUGGCGAAGGCGGCUACCUGGACAGAAACUGACGCUGAGGCGCGAAAGCUAGGGGAGCAAACAGG
RNAcentral lists this ribosomal RNA (253 nucleotides) under uncultured bacterium. RNAcentral describes it as "partial 16S ribosomal RNA". It matches the Rfam family "Bacterial small subunit ribosomal RNA", at positions 524 to 776 of the family's 1533-position model. The record is from RNAcentral.